AAUAUUUCACAAUGGACGAAAGUCUGAUGCAGCAACGCCGCGUGAGGGAUGACGGNCUNNGGGUUNUNAACCUCUUUUAGUAANNNNNAAGCCUUCGGGUGACGGUACUUGCAGAAAAAGCACCGGCUAACUACGUGCCAGCAGCCGCGGUAAUACGUAGGGUGCAAGCGUUGUCCGGAAUUAGUGGGCGUAGAGAGCUCGUAGGCGGUUUGUCGCGUCUGCUGUGAAAACCCGGGGCUCAACCCCGGGCCUGCAGUGGGUACGGGCAGACUAGAGUGCGGUAGGGGAGAUUGGAAUUCCUGGUGUAGCGGUGGAAUGCGCAGAUAUCAGGAGGAACACCGAUGGCGAAGGCAGAUCUCUGGGCCGUAACUGACGCUGAGGAGCGAAAGCAUGGGGAGCGAACAG
RNAcentral lists this ribosomal RNA (405 nucleotides) under uncultured bacterium. RNAcentral's name for it is "partial 16S ribosomal RNA". It matches the Rfam family "Bacterial small subunit ribosomal RNA", at positions 360 to 775 of the family's 1533-position model. The record is from RNAcentral.